This 399-nucleotide ribosomal RNA is filed under the name uncultured bacterium. Its description in RNAcentral is "bacterial SSU rRNA". It matches the Rfam family "Bacterial small subunit ribosomal RNA", at positions 362 to 775 of the family's 1533-position model. The record is from RNAcentral.
UAUUGCCCACUGGGGGAAACCCUGAUGCAGCAACGCCGCGUGAGUGAAGAAGUAUUUCGCUAUGUAAAGCUCUAUCAGCAGGGAAGAANGCAAUGACGGUACCUGAGUAAGAAGCCUCGGCGAACUACGUGCCAGCAGCCGCGGUAAUACGUAGGGGGCAAGCGUUAUCCGGAAUUACUGGGUGUAAAGGGAGCGUAGACGGUGAUGUAAGUCUGGAGUGAAAGGCGGGGGCCCAACCCCCGGACUGCUCUGGAAACUAUGUGACUGGAGUGCAGGAGAGGUGAGCGGAAUUCCUAGUGUAGCGGUGAAAUGCGUAGAUAUUAGGAGGAACACCAGUGGCGAAGGCGGCUCACUGGACUGUAACUGACGUUGAGGCUCGAAAGCGUGGGGAGCAAACAG